RNAcentral lists this ribosomal RNA (226 nucleotides) under Selar crumenophthalmus (bigeye scad). RNAcentral's name for it is "partial 16S ribosomal RNA". The record is from RNAcentral. Lineage: Eukaryota; Metazoa; Chordata; Actinopteri; Carangiformes; Carangidae.
GCCCAUAAGCUAGCCCCACCAACCACUUUCAUCAAACAAAUAUAACCAAACCCAAAAACACUAGACUCUUCUUAAACAAAGCAUUUUACCCCCUUAGUACGGGCGACAGAAAAGGACCUCCGGGCGCAAUAGAAAAAGUACCGCAAGGGAAAGCUGAAAGAGAAAUGAAAUAAACAAGUAAAGCCAUAAAAAGCAGAGAUUUAUCCUCGUACCUUUGGCAUCAUGA